GAUGAACGCUGGCGGCGUGCCUAAUACAUGCAAGUCGAGCGAACAGACGAGGAGCUUGCUCCUCUGACGUUAGCGGCGGACGGGUGAGUAACACGUGGAUGACCUACCUAUAAGACUGGGAUAACUUCGGGAAACCGGAGCUCAUACCGGAUAAUAUAUUGAACCGCAUGGUUCAAUAGUGAAAGACGGUUUUGCUGUCACUUAUAGAUGGAUCCGCGCCGCAUUAGCUAGUUGGUAAGGUAACGGCUUACCAAGGCGACGAUGCAUAGCCGACCUGAGAGGGUGAGCGGCCACGCAGGAACUGAGACACGGUCCAGACUCCUACGGGAGGCAGCAGUAGGGAAUCUUCCGCAAUGGGCGAAAGCCUGACGGAGCAACGCCGCAUGAGUGAUGAAGGUCUUCGGAUCGUAAAACGCUGUUAUUAGGGAAGAACAAAUGUGUAAGUAACUAUGCACGUCUUGACGGUACCUAAUCAGAAAGCCACGGCUAAGUACGUG
This 497-nucleotide ribosomal RNA is filed under the name uncultured bacterium. Its description in RNAcentral is "partial 16S ribosomal RNA". It matches the Rfam family "Bacterial small subunit ribosomal RNA", at positions 28 to 507 of the family's 1533-position model. The record is from RNAcentral.